GACGAACCGUGCGAACGUUAUUCGGAAUCAUUGGGCUUAAAGGGCGCGUAGGCGGGCUGCCAAGUCCGUGGUGAAAUCCCCCGGCUCAACCGGGGAACGGCCUCGGAUACUGGCGGCCUGGAGGCGGGUAGGGGCAAGCGGAACUGUGGGUGGAGCGGUGAAAUGCGUUGAGAUCCACAGGAACUCCGGUGGCGAAGGCGGCUUGCUGGACCCGAUCUGACGCUGAGGCGCGAAAGCCAGGGAGCGAACGGG
This 252-nucleotide ribosomal RNA is filed under the name uncultured bacterium. Its description in RNAcentral is "partial 16S ribosomal RNA". It matches the Rfam family "Bacterial small subunit ribosomal RNA", at positions 524 to 776 of the family's 1533-position model. The record is from RNAcentral.